This is a non-coding RNA of Desarmillaria tabescens, 93 nucleotides long. The record is from the annotation of a RefSeq genome assembly. Lineage: Eukaryota; Fungi; Basidiomycota; Agaricomycetes; Agaricales; Physalacriaceae.
GCAUUAGUGGUGUAAUGGUUAACAUGUGGUCUUCCCAUACUGCGAAAAUUUCAUUCCAUGGCCGCAUUCGGGGUUCGAUUCCCAGCUAAUGCA